CGGGCCGUCAGUGGCGAACGGCUGAGGAACACGUACGAAUCUGCCCUCCGGUGGGGAAUAACGCACCGAAAGGUGUGCUAAUACCGCGUACGCGCGCAAGCGGAAAGCCGCAAGGCGCCGGGGGGGAGCGUGCGGCCCAUCAGAUAGUUGGCGGGGUAAUGGCCCACCAAGUCGGUGACGGGUCGUUGGUCUGUGAGGACGAUCAGCCAGACUGGGACUGCGACACGGCCCAG
RNAcentral lists this ribosomal RNA (233 nucleotides) under uncultured bacterium. Its description in RNAcentral is "partial 16S ribosomal RNA". It matches the Rfam family "Bacterial small subunit ribosomal RNA", at positions 85 to 334 of the family's 1533-position model. The record is from RNAcentral.